This 14247-nucleotide long non-coding RNA is filed under the name Triticum aestivum (bread wheat). Its description in RNAcentral is "long non-coding RNA (TAES_LNC027595)". The record is from RNAcentral. Lineage: Eukaryota; Viridiplantae; Streptophyta; Magnoliopsida; Poales; Poaceae.
GGCGGGAAAAAUUGUUCCUGACAGGUGCAUUUUUAUUUCAGCAUACAUAGAUGUUCAAAUCGAAAAGUCUGAUACAGACAUAUGUAGAUACAAUGGGUCGCGCACGUGGAUAGAUGAAUCAUUGCAGUCAACGACGGCCACCUGGCCUUCCCUUCGGGCCGGAAAGCUCCAAGCGAUUAGGUGGUUGAGGUACACGAAGACCGCGACCGUACUCCAGUUGGUCUUCCUGUGUCUUCGACUCUUGCAUAGGUGGUGGAGUCUGUAAUCCUUGUUGCGAACCUGAUGCAUAAUUGUAGGCGUAUGGUUGUCUUGACUCCUCGGGAAUAAAAGAUGGGCCAAUAACGUCCUCUCUGAAGAAAUCCGUUGUAACACCCCGGUGUAAUGAUGCUACAGUAACCCCUGGGGUUAAGUUAAUCUUUUUGCUAAACAUGUGCCUGAUCAUUAUUGUCUCAUGUUCUUUCACAUUCCAGUUGAAUUCAAAUUCAAAUUUUGUCUGAAAUUCAAAAUGCUCAGACAUGAAAACAAAAAUGUUCAUCAUGUGCAGAAUAAUCCACAACUAAUAUUGGUGGUGAACCAACAUUUUUGCAAAAAGGUUUGAGUGGCCUAAGCUACUUCAAACAGUGGCCUAAGAAAUAAAUUAAAUGCCUUUUUAAUUUAUGAAAAUGGCAAACUAUUUCUAAAGCCUCACAAUCUUUUUUUUGGGCAGUGCCUAAUAAUUCUUUGAGAUUAUUUUGUCCAAUGGCAUAAUCUUUUGCAAAGUCUUUAUUGGCUAAAAGAAAAAAAAAAAGAAAAUGCAAAAGCUAUUUACAAAAAAAAGGAAAAGAAGAGGGGGUGGGAGAGCCCUGGCCUCCCCUUGGGCCUCGGCGACCCAUAGCCCCUGCCCCCCCUUGGCCCCCAACCAGCCCAGCCGGCCCAACCUCCCCGGUCGCUCUCCCCUCCCUCCUNNNNNNNNNNNNNNNNNNNNNNNNNNNNNNNNNNNNNNNNNNNNNNNNNNNNNNNNNNNNNNNNNNNNNNNNNNNNNNNNNNNNNNNNNNNNNNNNNNNNNNNNNNNNNNNNNNNNNNNNNNNNNNNNNNNNNNNNNNNNNNNNNNNNNNNNNNNNNNNNNNNNNNNNNNNNNNNNNNNNNNNNNNNNNNNNNNNNNNUCGCCGCCCGACCACCUCGCCGGCAACGCCGCGGGUGGAUAAGGGCCCCUCCCCUCGACGCCUCGACCUCCUCCCCACCUACCUCCACCCACUCCCCUGCUCGCCCUCUCCGCUCUCUCCCUCACUCUCCAGAUCCCCUCCCCACCUCAACCGAGCGCCGCCGUCGCCAUGGCUGCGCCAUAGCCGCGGCCACCGGCCACCCCGCGUCGUCUGCGCAUGUCAAGUAGCGCCGGCGCCUUCACCUAUGUUGCCUAUGCCCUUGGAUCGGAGCGGGGGAGCUCCACUGUCGCCGCACGCAUCGUCUUCUUCCUCGACGGCCGCUGGCGAUCCCCUUCUUCCCCGACGACAUUCUGCAGCUCCUAAACCUCCGAGGGCCACAGUGUGUGCCGCCCGGUGAGCUCCUCCCUUCCUUCUUUCCUCUCCUCGCGCCGUGCCUUUCGCCGUAGCCAGCUCGCCCGCAAGCCGAGCUCCGCCGUCCGCCAUUGCCGUCGUAGGGCUCGCCACCGAGCUCCUCCGCUCGAGCUAGUAGCUCCGACGAGCUCCUGGAGCGCCGUAGACCUCGCCCAGCUCCUUCGUUUGCCAAAACACGCACUGCAAUGCCGAUCCCGACGAGGUCCCGAACCCCACCGCCGCCUCCACUCGUCGCCGACGCAGUUCCGGUCACCCCCGCGUCCAACCGACCACACCAUGCGGCGCGGCUUCGUCUUCUCGUUCGAACGCGCCAAGUCCCGGGCCAAAUGACCCCCUGUGCGCGAUUCCCGGCGAAGUCCGGCGAGCCCCGCCUCUGUUUUGGUCGCCGGCGGCGAAACCCCGACACGGCCGACGUGGCACACCUGGGCCCCGCCUCUGGGUCACUGCCCGUGGGCCCCCUAGCCCCAGUAGACCACGUUGACCGUGGUCAACUGUGCUGACUGGGCACACAGUGUCUCUGACACGCGGGCCCCAUCGCAUAUUUUGUUAAAUAAACGUUUUUUUUCUAAAUAAAAAUGAUUAAUUAAAACGUUAGUUAAAUUAGUUAGUUAGUUAGUACUAACCAGUCACUGACUGCUGGGGCCCACGCCCCCUAACUAACCCUGUUAGCUUAGUUAAGCCUCUGUUAGACAGAGAGGCUGACAGGUGGGUCCCACCUGUCAGUUUGACUGGUCAGCAGAGCUGACGCAAUGCUGACGUCACUACUGACGCAAUAAACCUUUUCUGCUUUUAAAAUAAUUCAGAAAUUGGUUUAAACUUUGAAAAUCCGUAACUUUUAAACCGUAGCUCGGAUCGUAAAAGUUUAUAUAUGAAAAACGCCCAGAAAAACGAGACGAAUCCAGAUAUGCGCUCCGUUUACCUGUCAGAAGCCUAUAACUAUCUGAACAUGGAACAUUCCCCCUCAUGUCAACUGUUUGACAUAGGCCCGGAACCGGGAAUACAUUUCCGGUUGAAUUCUCCCUUCACCUAUAUCAUGUAGCCAUACGUUAGGUCACACCCGGCACAGCAUAUUGCCACGUUAUGCUUUGUGAUGCUAUGUUUGCUUUAUAUUUACUGUUUCUCCCCCCUCUUCUCUCCGGUAGACCCCAAGACCGAUGCCGAUGCCCCUGUGAUCGACUACGUCGACAACGACCCCCUCCUUGCCAGAGCAACCAGGCAAGCCCCCCCUUUGAUCAUCCCGAUAUCGCCCAUUCCAUUCUCUCAUGCUUGCAUUAGAUUUUGCUACUGUUAUUGUAUGCUCCUAUUCUGAUGCAUAGCCUGCUUUUGUACCUGUUAUUGUACCUUACCUGCUUAUCCUAAUCUGCUUAGUAUAGGUUGGUUAGUGAUCCAUCAGUGACCCCCACCUUGUCCUUGUUGCCCCUGCUUCAUCAUUGAAGACCCGUUCAACGGGAUUGAAGACCAGGCCCCGGCACCGCACAUCACUUUCCCCUUAGUUGCUCGACACUGCUGGGUUACUAUCGAGUGCCGAGGGUGAGACCUCUACAGCACUUCUGAUGUUAACCUAUAGUGUAGCUAUUCGGUCGUGGUCAUCGAGGGUGAUUUCCUCCUUAACCACUUCCGAUACGGCUCUGUCGUGCAACCCCUCAAGUGUGAACCUCGAGGGUGAUUCCUCUACGUUCACCUUGAUGAUUACAUUGAGUGGAACCCACCGGGGGUGAUUCCUUGGGUUUUCCUCUUGAUGUUUGGACACACGGAUACUGGACUUUACAACUGUUACUUGGAAAGAGAUGUGGAGACGGGUUGACCUGGAAGGUGCCCGUGAGAUAAUUACGAGGCGUGGCCGGGCAUUCUUAGCCCUUGCCGCAAGUCCUCGAGACGGGGCAACGGGGUCACCUCUUUCGUGGGUCUCUGCUUGUUACCGCGCGUUCCUAAUCCACUACGAUUUGGAUAUUUGAUCCGAGGGGCCUCUGGCCUGAUAGCACUAACCAUCACGUGGGCAUAGUAUGGGCGUUCUGCAUCGUAUACAUCAGCCAAAGCUUAAUAGACGUCAGCGACUGAGUGGCGCGCGCCGGGUUGGACUGCGCAAGCGCCUGCCUUGUUGAAGGAGGUAGCUAGGUCUGCUCACCGGCCGCGUACGCAACGUGCAGGAGUUUCCGGGGAGAUGGCCCAUGACCCCUGGGGGCAUAGGUUUAGUCCGGCGUGCUGACCUCUCUGUUAAGUCUAGGUCGGGUUGCGGCGUAUUGUUUGGCCGAGGCCGGGCAUGACCCUGGAAAGUGUGUCCGGCCGGAGUUAAGCGAGCGUGGUGGGUAAGUUGGUGCACCCCUACAGGGAAGAAAACAUCUAUCGAUAGCCUGUCCUACGGUAACGGACACUUGGAGUUGUAUCCCGAUCGAUACAACUAGAACUGGAUACUUGUGAUGAGAACUGGAUGGUGAUGAGGAUUUGAUUGUGAUGAUAACUGGAUAGUAUGGCUCUGGGAUUUCUUUCUCGCAGGGAGUCGAGAAAGGAUCUCUGGCCGAGGUUGAUAACACCACUGCUACUUUACCUUAUGCUACUCUACUUCCUCCUGUUGCUGCAAGAUGGCGGGUUCGAGAAGAUGCUAGUCUUUGAUAGGACUAGGCCUUCUCUCUAUUCUGGCAUUUCUGCAGCCCAGUCCACAUAUAUAGCCUUCCUUUGAUAAUGUUGCAUAUGUAAUGUAGAUCCUUGCUUGCGAGUACUUUGGAUGAGUACUCACGGUUGCUUUGCUCCCCUUUUCCCCCCUUUCUUUUCUUUCUGGUUGAUGCAACCAGAUGUCGGAGCCCAGGAGCCAGAUGCCACCGCCGGUGCCUACUACUACGUGGAGACCGCUGACGACCAGGAGUAGUUAGGAGGCUCCCAGGCAGGAGGCCUUGCCUUUUCGAUCGUUGUUGUUUUGUGCUAGCCUUCUUAAGGCAAACUUGUUUAACUCAUGUCUGUACUCAGAUAUUGUUGCUUCCGAUGACUCGUUUGUAUUCAAGCUGAUGUAUUCGAGCCCUCGAGGCCCCUGGCUUGUAAUAUAAAGCUUGUAUUAUUUUAAUUUGUGUCUAGAGUUGUGUUGUGAUAUCUUCCCGUGAGUCCUUGAUCUUGAUCGUACACAUUUGCGUGUAUGAUUAGUGUACGAUUGGAUCGAGGGCGUCACAAGUUGGUAUCAGAGCCGAUUGCCUGUAGGUAGCCCCCUUUCCAACUCCUUGGCCGAAGUUGAGUCUAGUCGUCCAAAAUUGUUUUACUAACUUGGCUGUGUGGCUUACGGGCCCACGUCGCCAUAUGGGUGGUAUUAGGAUCUUUUACUCCUCGUCUAUACUCUGGGACUCUGAACUCUCUUCUACUCGGGUUAAAUGAAUUUACUAACAUUAGGAUCCCGUGACCACAUUCACCCCGAAGUUGGAUGAAGCCAUAGUUAUUCCUUAGAAUAGCUUUUUGAGUAGUGCACACCCCGUCGUGUUGACUACGGAGUGGAAUCCAUCGUACCUCCUUCAUUAUGCAUGUUUUCAUCAUGACUGAUCCUUAUCUUUGCAAAUGCUCAAUGCUGAACUACCCCUGUUACAUGUUAGCAGGAUGGUUAGACCCGCUGGUCGUGGCUGUGGUGCCAACGACCCACCACCGCCUGAAUUCUUUACUGGAAUGAGGCAACAGUUUGAGUUAACUCGCCAGUUCAUGGAAGGAAUGAUGGCUCAGUUUCCUCGUCCGAACAUGAAUCAACAUCCAACCCGAGUAACUCUGCAGGACUUCAUGCGCCUCAACCCAUCUAUCUACCGCAGCUCAACUCAACCCCUUGAUGCUGAUGACUGGCUCCGCGACAUCACAUAUGAAAUGGAGUCUGCUAGUGUUGCCCCUGCCAGCUAUGUCACCUUCGCAUCUUUCUUUCUGAAGGGUCCUGCUGCUCAAUGGUGGGACAGCCUCAGGCGUACCCUACCUGCUGGAACGGUCAUUACUUGGCCGGAUUUCCAAGCUGCCUUCCGUGCCCGUUUCAUUCCUCAGGGAACCAUGGACAGGAAGAAGCGAGAGUUCCGCAACCUCACCCAAGGCAACAAGACUGUAGAUGCUUAUCAACGGGAAUUUCUGGACUUGUCGCGUUAUGCUGAAGAAGACAUUGCAAUUGAUGCUCGUAAGCAAGAGAAGUUUCGUGAUGGACUUCACCCUGAUAUUAAGCUAGCAUUGCUCGUUCAUGACUUUGCCGACUUCGCCACCCUGGUGAACAAGGCUAUUCAGGUUGAGACUGGUCUUCAGGAACACCAGGGAUCCCUCAGGCGUAGCCGUGAUGCUGGCCCAUCUUCGGGCCCGUCAGCGCAGAAGCGUCGGAUAUGGAUUCCCCACAGCAUGUAUCGUCCAACUGCACCUGCACCAAGACAGUCCUAUGUUGCACCUCGUCUGCCUCCUCAACCGCAGAGGCAGCCCCUUCGGGCUGUACCACCCCAAGCUUCUGCUCCCAAUCCCAAUGAUGGUUUGUGCUUCAAGUGUGGCCUUCCAGGUCACCGCUCCAGGAAAUGCCCUCAGAAUCAGAAUCAGCUGGCUCUGUCUUCAACUGACCGUAACAAUCACCCCCAUAACAACAAUGCCAGACCUUAUGGUCGUGGUCAGGCUAAUCAUAUUGAUCUGAAUGAAGCUCAAGACCAGCCUGCCACUGUGAUGGGUACUCUCCUUGUUAAUUUAGUACCAGCUUCUGUUUUGUUUGAUUCAGGAGCAUCACAUUCAUUCAUGUCAGAAAAUUUUGCUUACGCACAUGACAUUCGAUGCGAGCCCAUGAACACUCCGAUAGUGGUACGCACCCCUACGGGCCGAUGUCAAACUACCAUGAUUGGUCGUGACGUUCCUGUUGAAAUUGAAGGGUUGGAAUUCCUUGUUUCUCCCAUUAUUCUGGAGUCUUCCAAUAUUGACCUCAUUCUGGGAAUGGAAUGGUUGAAAGCGCAUACUGCCUCUAUCGUUUGCGCUACCAAGGUCGUUCACCUCCUACAUCCUUCAGAUGAGAUUGUAACCUACCAUGCUCAGCUUGUUCAAAACGCUGAAGCACGACUUUAUGCUUUGAAUGCGUUGAACGCGGCACCUCUUGAGGGAAUUGAAAAGAUUCCAGUCGUUCGCUACUUCCAAGACGUAUUUCCAGAAGAACUUCCAGGAAUACCCCCUGCCCGGGCUGUCGAGUUCGUCAUCGACUUGAAACCAGGCACCGUUCCUAUUGCAAAACGACCCUACAAGAUGCCACCUCAUGAACUCCUUGAGCUUAAGGAGGAAAUCAACAAAUCUCUUCACAAGGGUUUCAUUCGUCCAAGUUCCUCUGCUUGGGGAGCACCUUCUCUCUUCGUCAAGAAGAAGGACGGUACGAACCGUUUGGUCCAAGACUAUUGUCCUAUCAACCAAGCUACAAUUCAAAACAAAUAUCCCCUUCCUCAGAUCAAUGAUCUGUAUGAUCAACUGGCUGGUUCAUCGAUAUUCUCUAAACUCGACAUGAGGUUGGGUUACCACCAGAUCCGUGUUCGUGAAGAGGAUAUUCCAAAGACCGCAUUUGUGACUCGUUAUGGUUCUUACGAGUACACCGUCAUGUCAUUCGGUUUAACCAAUGCUCCAGCUACAUUCUCUCGUCUGAUGAACUAUAUAUUCAUGGAUUACCUCAACAAGUUCGUCGUAGUCUAUCUGGAUGAUAUACUGGUAUAUUCGAAGAAUAAAGAAGAACAUGCUGAACAUCUUCGUCUUGUUCUGGAGAAGCUUCGAGAGCAUCAACUUUAUGCCAAGUAUUCCAAGUGUGAAUUCUGGUUACCCGAAGUCACCUACCUUGGUCAUGUUAUCUCCAAGGAUGGUAUUGCCGUCAGCCCAGAGCGCGUUCAGGCUAUUCUUGACUGGACCCCUCCAAAGACUGUCAAGCAAGUCAGAAGCUUUCUCGGACUGGCCAGCUAUUGUUGCCGCUUUGUCGAGAACUUCUCCAAGAUCGCCAAGCCACUGACUAAUCUGCUUCACAAAGGCGUUAAGUUCGAUUGGACAGACAAAUGUCAGGAAAGUUUCCAGGCACUCAAGGAUAAACUGACUUCUGCCCCAGUGCUUGCUCCCCCUGAUUCUCGCAAGGACUUUGUCAUCUAUUGUGACGCUUCACGUCAAGGAUUAGGCUGUGUUCUAAUGCAAGAGCGCAGGGUGAUUGCCUAUGCCUCCCGUCAAGUGCGUCCUCACAAAGAAAACUACCCGGUUCAUGACCUUGAGCUUGCAGCGGUUAUCUUUGCAUUGAAGCUAUGGCGACAAUACCUUCUCGGUAAUCGUUGUGAGAUCUUCACUGAUCAUCAGAGUCUGAAGUACCUGUUUACUCAGCCAGAUCUGAACCUCCGUCAGCAGCGAUGGAUGGAAGCUAUUGCUGACUACAACUGCGGUAUAUCUUAUACACCUGGCAAGGCUAAUGUAAUGGCCGAUGCCCUAAGCCGAAAGUCUUAUUGCAAUAAUCACCAGGUCUACAAAGCUCAACCCCGCCUUUAUGAAGAGCUAUGCAAGCUGAACCUUCAACUAGUUCCACAGGGUUCUCUGAAUAACCUUGUUUUGGAACCAACUCUUCUGAAAGCAAUCAGGUCUGCUCAAGCCAAAGAUGCUCAUGUUGAUCUGAUGAAAAGGGAUCUUGCCUUAGAGAAAUCCAGAGAUUUCUCACUUGGUGAAGAUGGAACCUUAUACUUCAGAGAUCGCAUUGUCGUACCCCGGUUCGAGCUUAUGACAGAGAAGGUGAUGAAAGAAGCGCAUGACACCCCUCUCUCUAUUCAUCCGGGAAGUACCAAGAUGUAUCUUGACAUCCGUCAGAAGUACUGGUGGUCUAAGAUGAAGCAAGACAUUGCUCGAUAUAUUGAAGAAUGUGACGUUUGUCGUCGCGUCAAAGCAGAACAUCAAAAACCGGCUGGACUUCUACAACCGCUUCCGAUUCCUGAAUGGAAGUGGGAUAAGAUCCAAAUGGACUUCGUCACUGGCCUUCCCAAGUCUCAGAAAGGUAACGAUGCUAUCUUUGUCGUCAUCGACCAAUUCUCGAAGGUUGCUCACUUUCUGCCAGUCAAGGAGACUAUCACUGCUAGUAAAUUGGCAACCUUGUAUAUCUCCCGAAUUGUGUCACUCCACGGCAUUCCGAAGGAGAUCAGUUCAGACCGCGGCAGUAUUUUCACUUCUAAGUUCUGGGAUAGUUUCCAAGAGGCAAUGGGAACUCAUAUUACCUGGAGCACUGCUUAUCAUCCCCAAUCCCAAGGCCAAGUCGAGCGAGUCAAUCAAAUUCUUGAAGACAUGCUUCGAGCUUGUGUUAUUUCUUUCGGCAAGAAGUGGGAAGAAUCUCUCCCUUAUGCGGAGUUCUCUUAUAACAACAGCUAUCAAGCCAGCUUGAAGAUGGCACCCUUUGAAGUGCUUUAUGGACGUAAGUGCCGAACCCCUCUGAAUUGGUCAGAAACUGGGGAACGAGCACUCAUUGGUCCGUACAUUAUUCAACAAGCUGAAGAGCAGGUUCGCAUUGUCCGGGAUAAUCUCAAGGCGGCCCAAUCCCGCCAGAAGAGCAACUAUGACCGGAAACACUGGGGUUCAACUUAUCAACCUGGUGAACAAGCUUAUCUGCGUGUCACUCCUUUGAGAGGCACUCAUCGGUUCGGAGUCAAGGGAAAGUUAGCUCCUCGCUACAUUGGUCCCUUCCGUAUUCUCGCCCGUCGUGGACUGGUGGCUUAUCAACUGGAGUUGCCACCUCAGUUCUCUCACGUUCAUGACGUCUUCCAUGUGUCGCAACUUCGUCGAUGCUUCAAGGAUCCGGAACGUGAAGUGGAUCCGGAAUUGGUUGAAAUUCAAGAUGAUCUCACAUACAAGGAGCAUCCGAUCUGCAUUCUUGAAGAAGCUGAACGUCGAACCCGCCAGAAGGUUACUAAGUUCCUCAAGGUGCAAUGGUCGAAUCAUACUAAAGAGGAAGCCACUUGGGAACGCGAAGAUAACCUCCGGGCUGAAUACCCCGAUCUUUUCCCUUCUACCUCUUAAUUCUCGGGACGAGAAUUUCUUUUAGAGGAGGAGAGUUGUAACACCCCGGUGUAAUGAUGCUACAGUAACCCCUGGGGUUAAGUUAAUAUUUUUGCUAAACAUGUGCCUGAUCAUUAUUGUCUCAUGUUCUUUCACAUUCCAGUUGAAUUCAAAUUCAAAUUUUGUCUGAAAUUCAAAAUGUUCAGACAUGAAAACAAAAAUGUUCAUCAUGUGCAGAAUAAUCCACAACUAAUAUUGGUGGUGAACCAACAUUUUUGCAAAAAAGUUUGAGUGGCCUAAGCUACUUCAAACAGUGGCCUAAGAAAUAAAUUAAAUGCCUUUUUAAUUUAUGAAAAUGGCAAACUAUUUCUAAAGCCUCACAAUCUUUUUUUUGGGCAGUGCCUAAUAAUUCUUUGAGAUUAUUUUGUCCAAUGGCAUAAUCUUUUGCAAAGUCUUUAUUGGCUAAAAGAAAAAAAAAGAAAAUGCAAAAGCUGUUUACAAAAAAAAAGGAAAAGAAGAGGGGGUGGGAGAGCCCUGGCCUCCCCUUGGGCCUCGGCGACCCACAGCCCCCUGCCCCCCCUUGGCCCCCAACCAGCCCAGCCGGCCCAACCUCCCCGGUCGCUCUCCCCUCCCUCCUGUUCCCCCGGUGCGCACCGCUACAGGGGCGCGUCGCCGCCCGACCACCUCGCCGGCAACGCCGCGCUUGGAUAAGGGCCCCUCCCCUCGACGCCUCGACCUCCUCCCCACCUACCUCCACCCACUCCUCUGCUCGCCCUCUCCGCUCUCUCCCUCACUCUCCAGAUCCCCUCCCCACCUCAACCGAGCGCCGCCGUCGCCAUGGCUGCGCCAUAGCCGCGGCCACCGGCCACCCCGCGUCGUCUGCGCAUGUCAAGUAGCGCCGGCGCCUUCACCUAUGUUGCCUAUGCCCUUGGAUCGGAGCGGGGGAGCUCCACUGUCACCGCACGCAUCGUCUUCUUCCUCGACGGCCGCUGGUGAUCCCCUUCUUCCCCGACGACAUUCUGCAGCUCCUAAACCUCCGAGGGCCAUCGUGUGUGCCGCCCGGUGAGCUCCUCCCUUCCUUCUUUCCUCUCCUCGCGUCGUGCCUUUCGCCGUAGCCAGCUCGCCCGCAAGCCGAGCUCCGCCGUCCGCCAUUGCCGUCGUAGGGCUCGCCACCGAGCUCCUCCGCUCGAGCUAGUAGCUCCGACGAGCUCCUGGAGCGCCGUAGACCUCGCCCAGCUCCUUCGUUCGCCAAAACACGCACUGCAACACCGAUCCCGACGAGGUCCCGAACCCCACCGCCGCCUCCACUCGUCGCCGACGCAGUUCCGGUCACCCCCGCGUCCAACCGACCACACCAUGCGGCGCGGCUUCGUCUUCUCGUUCGAACGCGCCAAGUCCCGGGCCAAAUGACCCCCUGUGCACGAUUCCCGGCGAAGUCCGGCGAGCCCCGCCUCUGUUUUGGUCGCCGACGGCGAAACCCCGACGCGGCCGACGUGGCACACCUGGGCCCCGCCUCUGGGUCACUGCCCGUGGGCCCCCCUGGCCCCAGUUGACCACGUUGACCGUGGUCAACUGUGCUGACUGGGCACACAGUGUCUCUGACACGCGGGCCCCAUCGCAUAUUUUGUUAAAUAAACGUUUUUUUCUAAAUAAAAAUGAUUAAUUAAAACGUUAGUUAAAUUAGUGAGUUAGUUAGUACUAACCAGUCACUGACUGCUGGGGCCCACGCCCCCUAACUAACCCUGUUAGCUUAGUUAAGCCUCUGUUAGACAGAGAGGCUGACAGGUGGGUCCCACCUGUCAGUUUGACUGGUCAGCAGAGCUGACGCAAUGCUGACGUCACUACUGACGCAAUAAACCUUUUCUGCUUUUAAAAUAAUUCAGAAAUUGGUUUAAACUUUGAAAAUCCGUAACUUUUAAACCGUAGCUCGGAUUGUAAAAGUUUAUAUAUGAAAAACGCCCAGAAAAACGAGACGAAUCCAGAUAUGCGCUCCGUUUACCUGUCAGAAGCCUAUAACUAUCUGAACAUGGAACAUUCCCCCUCAUGUCAACUGUUUGACAUAGGCCCGGAACCGGGAAUACAUUUCCGGUUGAAUUCUCCCUUCACCUAUAUCAUGUAGCCAUACGUUAGGUCACACCCGGCACAGCAUAUUGCCACGUUAUGCUUUGUGAUGCUAUGUUUGCUUUAUAUUUACUGUUUCUCCCCCCUCUUCUCUCCGGUAGACCCCAAGACCGAUGCCGAUGCCCCUGUGAUCGACUACGUCGACAACGACCCCCUCCUUGCCAGAGAAACCAGGCAAGCCCCCCCUUUGAUCAUCCCGAUAUCGCCCAUUCCAUUCUCUCAUGCUUGCAUUAGAUUUUGCUACUGUUAUUGUAUGCUCCUAUUCUGAUGCAUAGCCUGCUUUUGUACCUGUUAUUGUACCUUACCUGCUUAUCCUAAUCUGCUUAGUAUAGGUUGGUUAGUGAUCCAUCAGUGACCCCCACCUUGUCCUUGUUGCCCCUGCUUCAUCAUUGAAGACCCGUUCAACGGGAUUGAAGACCAGGCCCCGGCACCGCACAUCACUUUCCCCUUAGUUGCUCGACACUGCUGGGUUACUAUCGAGUGCCGAGGGUGAGACCUCUACAGCACUUCUGAUGUUAACCUGUAGUGUAGCUAUUCGGUCGUGGUCAUCGAGGGUGAUUUCCUCCUUAACCACUUCCGAUACGGCUCUGUCGUGCAACCCCUCAAGUGUGAACCUCGAGGGUGAUUCCUCUACGUUCACCUUGAUGAUUACAUUGAGUGGAACCCACCGGGGGUGAUUCCUUGGGUUUUCCUCUUGAUGUUUGGACACACGGAUACUGGACUUUACAACUGUUACUUGGAAAGAGAUGUGGAGACGGGUUGACCUGGAAGGUGCCCGUGAGAUAAUUACGAGGCGUGGCCGGGCAUUCUUAGCCCUUGCCGCAAGUCCUCGAGACGGGGCAACGGGGUCACCUCUUUCGUGGGUCUCUGCUUGUUACCGCGCGUUCCUAAUCCACUACGAUUUGGAUAUUUGAUCCGAGGGGCCUCUGGCCUGAUAGCACUAACCAUCACGUGGGCAUAGUAUGGGCGUUCUGCGUCGUAUACAUCAGCCAAAGCUUAAUAGACGUCAGCGACUGAGUGGCGCGCGCCGGGUUGGACUGCGCAAGCGCCUACCUUGUUGAAGGAGGUAGCUAGGUCUGCUCACCGGCCGCGUACGCAACGUGCAGGAGUUUCCGGGGAGAUGGCCCAUGACCCCUGGGGGCAUAGGUUUAGUCCGGCGUGCUGACCUCUCUGUUAAGUCUAGGUCGGGUUGCGGCGUAUUGUUUGGCCGAGGCCGGGCAUGACCCUGGAAAGUGUGUCCGGCCGGAGUUAAGCGAGCGUGGUGGGUAAGUUGGUGCACCCCUGCAGGGAAGAAAACAUCUAUUGAUAGCCUGUCCUACGGUAACGGACACUUGGAGUUGUAUCCCGAUCGAUACAACUAGAACUGGAUACUUGUGAUGAGAACUGGAUGGUGAUGAGGAUUUGAUUGUGAUGAUAACUGGAUAGUAUGGCUCUGGGAUUUCUUUCUCGCAGGGAGUCGAGAAAGGAUCUCUGGCCGAGGUUGAUAACACCACUGCUACUUUACCUUAUGCUACUCUACUUCCUCCUGUUGCUGCAAGAUGGCGGGUUCGAGAAGAUGCUAGUCUUCGAUAGGACUAGGCCUUCUCUCUAUUCUGGCAUUUCUGCAGCCCAGUCCACAUAUAUAGCCUUCCUUUGAUAAUGUUGCAUAUGUAAUGUAGAUCCUUGCUUGCGAGUACUUUGGAUGAGUACUCACGGUUGCUUUGCUCCCCUUUUCCCCCCUUUCUUUUCUUUCUGGUUGAUGCAACCAGAUGUCGGAGCCCAGGAGCCAGAUGCCACCGCCGGUGCCUACUACUACGUGGAGACCGCUGACGACCAGGAGUAGUUAGGAGGCUCCCAGGCAGGAGGCCUUGCCUUUUCGAUCGUUGUUGUUUUGUGCUAGCCUUCUUAAGGCAAACUUGUUUAACUCAUGUCUGUACUCAGAUAUUGUUGCUUCCGCUGACUCGUUUGUAUUCAAGCUGAUGUAUUCGAGCCCUCGAGGCCCCUGGCUUGUAAUAUAAAGCUUGUAUUAUUUUAAUUUGUGUCUAGAGUUGUGUUGUGAUAUCUUCCCGUGAGUCCUUGAUCUUGAUCGUACACAUUUGCGUGUAUGAUUAGUGUACGAUUGGAUCGAGGGCGUCACAUCCGUAUCUACUGCGUUAACAUUGUCGCCAGGUUGGGUGUACUCAUCGUUCCAAUUUACAUCAGGUAUGCCGUGCACAUAGAAACAUUGUAAACAAAAACUGUUAGAGGAUAAUAUGUAAUAUCACCGUAAAUGCAUUAAAAUGUAAACAUGACUACCUGAUCAGAUCCCUUGCCUGUACUGUCUGGACAUUCUACCUGGUACUGGUUUAAAUCUGGGACACGAGUCUCCUCGGGCAUGGAGAUCCCUCGCGUGAAGAGAUACGGCUGAGAUCCCUCACCUUGAGUGUAUGUGCCAUAUCUUGUGUAUGCAUAUGGGUUUGGGGAAAGAUACAGCUCGGGCAUCGAAUCCAAGCCCAUGCCAUGGUCCUGCGAUGUCUGCCCCUAACGAAGCAGCACCGAAGAAGAGCGAUGUAGUGGCAGAGAAGACUCAUGUCGUGGCAAUGUCGUUGUAGUACUCGGACCCUCCCCCCACUGCCCAUGGCUUGUACACGCCUUGCUC